RNAcentral lists this ribosomal RNA (763 nucleotides) under uncultured archaeon. RNAcentral's name for it is "bacterial SSU rRNA". It matches the Rfam family "Archaeal small subunit ribosomal RNA", at positions 108 to 879 of the family's 1478-position model. The record is from RNAcentral.
CGGCCCCGUUGGUGUGAACCUCGGGAACUGAGAACAAUACCCCAUAGACCAUCUCUGCUGGAACGCUUGAUGGUCAAAAGUUCCGACGCCCAAGGAUGGGUCUGCGGCCUAUCAGGUCGUAGUCGGUGUAACGGACCGACUAGCCUACGACGGGUACGGGCCUUGAGAGAGGUCGCCCGGAGAUGGACUCUGAGACACCAGUCCAGGCCCUACGGGGCGCAGCAGGAGCGAAAACUUCGCAAUGUGGGCAACCACGACGAGGGGACUCCAAGUGCUCAAGUUUUACUUGGGCUGUUUUCGUGCCUAAAAAGCACGGAGAGUAAGGGCUGGGUAAGACGGGUGCCAGCCGCCGCGGUAAUACCCGCAGCCCGAGUGGUGGUCAUUAUUAUUGGGCCUAAAACGUCCGUAGCCGGCCCGGUAAAUUCUUGGGGAAAUCGGUGCGCUUAACGUAUCGAAGUCCGAGGAGACUGCCGGGCUUGGGACUGGGUGAGGUCAGAGGUACUUCUGGGGUAGGGGUAAAAUCCUGUAAUCCUGGAAGGACCACCAGUGGCGAAGGCGUCUGACUAGAACGGAUCCGACGGUAAGGGACGAAGCCCUGGGGCACAAACGGGAUUAGAUACCCCGGUAGUCCAGGGUGUAAACGCUGUGGGCUUGGUGUUGGGAGUCCUACGAGGGCGCCCAGUGCCGGAGAGAAGUUGUUAAGCCUACUGCCUGGGGAGUACGCUCGCAAGAGUGAAACUUAAAGGAAUUGGCGGGGGAGCAC